GAUGAACGCUGACAGAAUGCUUAACACAUGCAAGUCUACUUGAAUUUGGGUUUUUUAACUUAGAUUUGGGUGGCGGACGGGUGAGUAACGCGUAAAGAACUUGCCUCACAGUUAGGGACAACAUUUGGAAACGAAUGCUAAUACCUGAUAUUAUGAAUAUAUGGCAUCAUAUAAUUAUGAAAGCUAUAAGCGCUGUGAGAGAGCUUUGCGUCCCAUUAGCUAGUUGGAGAGGUAACGGCUCAACAAGGCGAUGAUGGGUAGCCGGCCUGAGAGGGUGAACGGCCACAAGGGGACUGAGACACGGCCCUUACUCCUACGGGAGGCAGCAGUGGGGAAUAUUGGACAAUGGACCAAGAGUCUGAUCCAGCAAUUCUGUGUGCACGAUGACGUUUUUCGGAAUGUAAAGUGCUUUCAGUUGGGAAGAAAAAAAUGACGGUACCAACAGAAGAAGUGACGGCUAAAUACGUG
This 468-nucleotide ribosomal RNA is filed under the name uncultured bacterium. Its description in RNAcentral is "partial 16S ribosomal RNA". It matches the Rfam family "Bacterial small subunit ribosomal RNA", at positions 28 to 507 of the family's 1533-position model. The record is from RNAcentral.